This 463-nucleotide ribosomal RNA is filed under the name uncultured bacterium. RNAcentral describes it as "SSU rRNA". It matches the Rfam family "Bacterial small subunit ribosomal RNA", at positions 26 to 518 of the family's 1533-position model. The record is from RNAcentral.
AGAAUCAACGCUGGCGGCGUGCCUAACACAUGCAAGUCGAACGAGAAAGUGGGAGCAAUCCCACGAGUAAAGUGGCGCACGGGUGAGUAACACGUGACUAACCUACCCUUGAGUGGGGGAUAACCUAGGGAAACCUGGGCUAAUACCGCAUAAUACCUACGGGUCAAAGGAGCAAUUCGCUUUAGGAGGGGGUCGCGGCAGAUUAGUUAGUUGGCGGGGUAAUGGCCCACCAAGACAGUGAUCUGUAUCCGGCCUGAGAGGGCGCACGGACACACUGGAACUGAAACACGGUCCAGACUCCUACGGGAGGCAGCAGUGGGGAAUUUGCGCAAUGGGGGAAACCCUGACGCAGCAACGCCGCGUGGAGGAUGAAGCCCCUUGGGGCGUAAACUCCUUUCGAUCGGGAAGAUAAUGGACGGUACCGGAAGAAGAACGCCCCGGCUAACUUCGCGCCAGCAGCCGC